GACACCUGACAGCAGUGCGUGUCUUAAUUAUGAAGCUCGUGUCGGAUUGUUUGAAAGGCUGCAGCUUUCACAGGAAACGGCUUUGACAGCGCUUCAGCGCCGGUGCAUUCAAAGACAGUCCGUCGUCUUUGGAUGCAGAUCGACGUUUGCCUGACGGAAACCGGUGCAUUCACAAUCUUUGGAUGGAAACUGUGUUUUCAUUUUGUACAGGCUCACCCACCUCCACGCCGAUCUCGAAGCCUCCUCCCAGACCAGCGAUGCCGAUGGCGGACGGUGCGGACCAACCUCAACGCACAACAACACACACAGCAAGGGGAAAAAGACAUUAAGGGAUUAAGGGUUUAGUUUGGAGAUGACACACUUUUUACCACCAGACCAUCGGGCUUCCCAGCUCACAUAUCCACAUAUUCCACUUCCCUGCUUGUCUGCCCGGUUCAAGGAAAAAAAAAAGGGUUUUGGCCCGACGACGAACUCUGACACCCACCGUCAGAACGCCACAGCCGCCAACGCCGGACCACUUGAUCAACGUCCGUAAGCAAACACACAACCCAUCAGAUGACUGCUGCUGAUGAGGAGGAUGCAGGGAGAUCUGAGGGAGUGUGUCUGCUUGUUACCGAGAAAACGAAAAAUGUCACAAAGCGUCCCGAAAAACAAAAAACAAAACCACAGCAAAAAAGUCACUGGGGACUCACGAGGAUCCAGAGAAACACGAAGGAAAGACACCGAAUCUCUACCAGAUACCGAGCUCUGGCCUCACUGUGCAGAGGCACGGCAGCAGCUUUUUAUCAAAGUGUUUCUGCACGGGAACACGCGAGGAAGGGCGAAAACAGGACCGGAGAGUCGGCAGAGAGAGGGUCAGCGGCCGAGGUCUUACGUCUGUCGGCCAGUCUGGCGAUGACGAUGCCGCUGCCUCCUCUGGCUGUGAUCAUGAAGCCCGCCUUGAUGACAGAGAUGAUGGCCAGACCCUCGGCCUUCGCUAUCACAUGAGCUACAACGCACACACACAAAAAAAAACAAAAAAAACCACUCAGUUCACCAAAGACACAUUUCAAUAAACAUUUGACACAGUUUUAAGCCUGUUUUCACGUCAUGUCGCAUCCUUUUCUUUCCUGCCUUCUUUUACCUUCACUUUGGGAAACAGCUCUCCCAAAAAUGUCGAAGUAUUCCUUAAAGAUUUUACUGAUCCCAUUUAAAUCACUUCAUCUGCCUUCUCCUGGUUGUAUUACUGAAUUUUUGGUCCUGUGAGAGUCAGCCCCUCAGACAGGGCUUUUCUGGCCGUUCCUAAAUCCUGGUUCAGGACUAAAAGGGACCUGGUUUUUGCAGUCAGGGCCCCUUUAGCGCUGGAGCUCCCUGUUUGAAGACCUGAGACUGAAACACCAGUUGUUAUUUAACUGAAUUGUUUUAAUCUUGAUUUGCUCAUGUGAAGCAGUUUCUUUUAGCUUUGUUUUAAA
Long non-coding RNA from Xiphias gladius (swordfish), 1451 nucleotides. RefSeq lists it as uncharacterized. The transcript has 3 exons. The record is from RefSeq and is a predicted model, not a curated record. NCBI's taxonomy places the organism in Eukaryota, Metazoa, Chordata, Actinopteri, Istiophoriformes, Xiphiidae.